GACGAACGCUGGCGGCGUGCCUAAUACAUGCAAGUCGAGCGGACUUUCAAGAAGCUUGCUUUUUGAAAGUUAGCGGCGGACGGGUGAGUAACACGUGGGCAACCUGCCUGCAAGACGGGGAUAACUCCGGGAAACCGGGGCUAAUACCGGAUAAUAUCUUCCUUCGCAUGAAGGAAGGUUGAAAGGCGGCGCAAGCUGCCGCUUGCAGAUGGGCCCGCGGCGCAUUAGCUAGUUGGUGAGGUAACGGCUCACCAAGGCGACGAUGCGUAGCCGACCUGAGAGGGUGAUCGGCCACACUGGGACUGAGACACGGCCCAGACUCCUACGGGAGGCAGCAGUAGGGAAUCUGCCGCAAUGGACGAAAGUCUGACGGAGCAACGCCGCGUGAGCGAAGAAGGUCUUCGGAUCGUAAAGCUCUGUUGUCAGGGAAGAACAAGUACCGUUCGAACAGGGCGGUACCUUGACGGUACCUGACCAGAAAGCCACGGCUAACUACGUG
Molecule: ribosomal RNA, 499 nt
Filed under: uncultured bacterium
Lineage: Bacteria
Description: partial 16S ribosomal RNA
Rfam family: Bacterial small subunit ribosomal RNA
Source: RNAcentral